The sequence is a regulatory RNA element, 127 nucleotides long. It matches the Rfam family "Ribosomal protein L20 leader". Rfam says of the family: This family is a putative r-protein leader autoregulatory structure found in B. subtilis and other low-GC Gram-positive bacteria. It is located in the 5' untranslated regions of mRNAs encoding initiation factor 3 followed by ribosomal proteins L35 and L20 (infC-rpmI-rplT). The record is from Rfam.
UGACAAAAGCAGAAGCACCCGCUUCUCACCUAGCUGACGCCAUUAGCAGCUGUUGGCAGGUUGUUACGGUUCGGUUAUAGAGCGUAAUGAGCGUGGGUGUCGUAUGCACCCACGUUUUUUAUUUGGA